GUGAGUAUUUAUAAUUGGUGAAUAUCUGGG
RNAcentral lists this non-coding RNA (30 nucleotides) under Cricetulus griseus (Chinese hamster). Lineage: Eukaryota; Metazoa; Chordata; Mammalia; Rodentia; Cricetidae. The record is from RNAcentral.